AGUGAACGCUGGCGGUAGGCCUAACACAUGCAAGUCGAACGGCAGCACAGUAAGAGCUUGCUCUUACGGGUGGCGAGUGGCGGACGGGUGAGGAAUACAUCGGAAUCUACUUUUUCGUGGGGGAUAACGUAGGGAAACUUACGCUAAUACCGCAUACGACCUACGGGUGAAAGCAGGGGAUCUUCGGACCUUGCGCGAUUGAAUGAGCCGAUGUCGGAUUAGCUAGUUGGCGGGGUAAAGGCCCACCAAGGCGACGAUCCGUAGCUGGUCUGGGUGGAUGAUCAGCCACACUGGAACUGAGACACGGUCCAGACUCCUACGGGAGGCAGCAGUGGGGAAUAUUGGACAAUGGGCGCAAGCCUGAUCCAGCCAUACCGCGUGGGUGAAGAAGGCCUUCGGGUUGUAAAGCCCUUUUGUUGGGAAAGAAAAGCAGCAGGUUAAUACCCCGCUGUUCUGACGGUACCCAAAGAAUAAGCACCGGCUAACUUCGUG
Molecule: ribosomal RNA, 492 nt
Filed under: uncultured bacterium
Lineage: Bacteria
Description: partial 16S ribosomal RNA
Rfam family: Bacterial small subunit ribosomal RNA
Source: RNAcentral